RNAcentral lists this ribosomal RNA (246 nucleotides) under uncultured Lactobacillus sp. RNAcentral's name for it is "partial 16S ribosomal RNA". It matches the Rfam family "Bacterial small subunit ribosomal RNA", at positions 116 to 354 of the family's 1533-position model. Lineage: Bacteria; Bacillati; Bacillota; Bacilli; Lactobacillales; Lactobacillaceae. The record is from RNAcentral.
CGUGGGUAACCUGCCCAAGAGAUCGGGAUAACACCUGGAAACAGAUGCUAAUACCGGAUAACAACAGAUGAUGCCUAUCAACUGUUUAAAAGAUGGUUCUGCUAUCACUCUUGGAUGUACCUGCGGUGCAUUAGCUAGUUGGUAGGGUAACGGCCUACCAAGGCGAUGAUGCAUAGCCGAGUUGAGAGACUGAUCGGCCACAUUGGGACUGAGACACGGCCCAAACUCCUACGGGAGGCAGCAGAC